GACGAACGCUGGCGGCGUGCUUAACACAUGCAAGUCGAACGGAAAGGCCCUGCUUUUGUGGGGUUCUCGAGUGGCGAACGGGUGAGUAACACGUGAGUAACCUGCCCUUGACUUUGGGAUAACUUCAGGAGACUGGGGCUAAUACCGGAUAGGAGCUCCUGCUGCAUGGUGGGGGUUGGUAAGUUUCGGCGGUUGGGGAUGGACUCGCGGCUUAUCAGCUUGUUGGUGGGGUAGUGGCUUACCAAGGCUUCGACGGGUAGCCGGCCUGAGAGGGGGAACGGCGACAUUGGGACUGAGAUACGGCCCAGACUCCUACGGGAGGCAGCAGUGGGGAAUAUUGCACAAUGGGCGGAAGCCUGAUGCAGCGACGCCGCGUGCGGGAUGACGGCCUUCGGGUUGUAAACCGCUUUCGCCUGUGACGAAGCGUGAGUGACGGUAAUGGGUAAAGAAGCACCGGCUAACUACGUG
Molecule: ribosomal RNA, 468 nt
Filed under: uncultured bacterium
Lineage: Bacteria
Description: partial 16S ribosomal RNA
Rfam family: Bacterial small subunit ribosomal RNA
Source: RNAcentral